AGGACGGGCCGAGGGAUCGCCGCCGGGAGUCCGCCGGAUUCGCCGCGCGGAGGAAAGUCCGAGCUCCACAGGGCAGGAUGCCGGGUAACGCCCGGGCACCGCGAGGUGACGGAAAGUGCCGCAGAGAGCAGACCGCCGAUGGCCCCGGAAGCGGGGCACAGGCAAGGGUGAAAGGGUGCGGUAAGAGCGCACCGGGCCGCUGGCAACAGGGGUCGCAUGGCAAACCCCAUCCGGAGCAAGGCCGAAUAGGGGACGAGGGACGGCCCGUCCCGACCGAGUCCCGGGUAGGCCGCUCGAGGCCCGGAGUGAUCCGGGUCCCAGAAAGAUGAUCCCGCCCGCCUCCCGAGGCGGGACACAGAACUCGGCUUAUGACGCCCGUCCUCCUG
Molecule: RNase P RNA, 386 nt
Filed under: Gemmatimonadota bacterium
Lineage: Bacteria; Pseudomonadati; Gemmatimonadota
Description: Gemmatimonadetes bacterium RNase P RNA component class A
Rfam family: Bacterial RNase P class A
About the family: Ribonuclease P (RNase P) is a ubiquitous endoribonuclease, found in archaea, bacteria and eukarya as well as chloroplasts and mitochondria.
Source: RNAcentral